Molecule: long non-coding RNA, 1161 nt
Filed under: Salmo salar (Atlantic salmon)
Lineage: Eukaryota; Metazoa; Chordata; Actinopteri; Salmoniformes; Salmonidae
Description: lncRNA (ENSSSAG00000086952.1)
Source: RNAcentral
GGCAUACAGGCAGAAAAACAGGUGGAUAGGCAUACAGGCAGAAAAACAGGUGGAUAGGCAUACAGGCAGAAAAACAGGUGGAUAGGCAGAAAGACAGACGGAUAGGCAGACAGGCAGAAAGACAGAUGGAUAGGCAGACAGGCAGAAAGACAGACGGAUAGGCAUACAGGCAGAAAAACAGGUGGAUAGGCAGACAGGCAGAAAAACAGGUGGAUAGGCAUACAGGCAGAAAAACAGUUGGAUAGGCAUACAGGCAGAAAAACAGGUGGAUAGGCAGAAAGACAGACGGAUAGGCAGACAGGCAGAAAGACAGAUGGAUAGGCAGACAGGCAGAAAAACAGGUGGAUAGGCAGACAGGCAGAAAGACAGACGGAUAGGCAGACAGGCAGAAAAACAGGUGGAUAGGCAGACAGGCAGAAAGACAGACGGAUAGGCAGACAGGCAGAAAGACAGACGGAUAGGCAGACAGGCAGAAAGACAGACGGAUAGGCAGACAGGCAGAAAGACAGACGGAUAGGCAGACAGGCAGAAAGACAGACGGAUAGGCAGACAGGCAGAAAGACAGACGGAUAGGCAGACAGGCAGAAAGACAGAUGGAUAGGCAGACAGGCAGAAAAACAGGUGGAUAGGCAGACAGGCAGAAAGACAGACGGAUAGGCAGACAGGCAGAAAAACAGGUGGAUAGGCAGACAGGCAGAAAGACAGACGGAUAGGCAGACAGGCAGAAAAACAGGUGGAUAGGCAGACAGGCAGAAAGACAGACGGAUAGGCAGACAGGCAGAAAGACAGAUGGAUAGGCAGACAGGCAGAAAAACAGGUGGAUAGGCAGACAGGCAGAAAGACAGACGGAUAGGCAGACAGGCAGAAAAACAGGUGGAUAGGCAGACAGGCAGAAAGACAGACGGAUAGGCAGACAGGCAGAAAGACAGAUGGAUAGGCAGACAGGCAGAAAGACAGACGGAUAGACAGACAGGCAGAAAAACAGGUGGAUAGGCAGACAGGCAGAAAGACAGAUGGAUAGGCAGACAGGCAGAAAGACAGACGGAUAGGCAGACAGGCAGAAAGACAGAUGGAUAGGCAGACAGGCAGAAAGACAGACACCUUUCAGUCUAAUAACACCUCUGUGGUUUAGCUACAUUUCAGAAUGAACAGAACAUUGAC